GACCAACGCUGGCGGCGUGCCUAAUACAUGCAAGUCGAACGAGAGCGACCGGUGCUUGCACUGGUCAAUCUAGUGGCGAACGGGUGAGUAACACGUGGGUAACCUGCCCAUCAGAGGGGGAUAACAUUCGGAAACGGAUGCUAAAACCGCAUAGGUCUUCGAACCGCAUGGUUUGAAGAGGAAAAGAGGCGCAAGCUUCUGCUGAUGGAUGGACCCGCGGUGCAUUAGCUAGUUGGUGAGGUAACGGCUCACCAAGGCCGUGAUGCAUAGCCGACCUGAGAGGGUGAUCGGCCACAUUGGGACUGAGACACGGCCCAAACUCCUACGGGAGGCAGCAGUAGGGAAUCUUCCGCAAUGGACGCAAGUCUGACGGAGCAACGCCGCGUGAGUGAAGAAGGUUUUCGGAUCGUAAAACUCUGUUGUUAGAGAAGAAUAAGUGCUAGAGUAACUGUUAGCGCCUUGACGGUAUCUAACCAGAAAGCCACGGCUAACUACGUG
Molecule: ribosomal RNA, 498 nt
Filed under: uncultured bacterium
Lineage: Bacteria
Description: partial 16S ribosomal RNA
Rfam family: Bacterial small subunit ribosomal RNA
Source: RNAcentral